Molecule: long non-coding RNA, 929 nt
Filed under: Gossypium barbadense (sea-island cotton)
Lineage: Eukaryota; Viridiplantae; Streptophyta; Magnoliopsida; Malvales; Malvaceae
Description: long non-coding RNA (GBAR_LNC016290)
Source: RNAcentral
AACGGAAGAUGCAUGAUUGAAAAGGCAUGACAUGAAAGUGCCAAAAAAAUAAUAAUAAAAUAACAAUAAAAAAUCUCGGCCCUCCCCUAAUCCGGCCUUGGCACCGGCGAGUCUCCGCUAUGGCCACCGAUCAUUGGUGACGGAGACCCCAGCCUCCGAUGGCUGGAGAUUGCAAAAAGGGGGUCUUUUCAUCCCUGUUUUCUGGGGAACCCGGAUCUGGGGUCGAAAUCCCUAGAUCCGGUCGAAAUUUGACAAUAACAAGGAGGGGCUUUUCGACUUCCAAUCGUCCCCAAAACGGCUUCAGGCAAACCCCGAGGGUGCGGCAGCCUUUUAAGUCAGAAGGGACUCCAGCGACGGCGUCGAGGUAAGAACCCUUUUUAUUUCUCGUUUUAUGUUUUUACAUAAAAAAAUAGAUUCAAAAAAAGAAUAAAUAAAAAAGAAUCACCUUCACAAUUUGGUAUUUUGUUUUUCUAUUGUUUCGUGUAUCCGUUACAUAGUUUUUUUGUUUUGGCUUUUUAACAUAGUUUUUUUGUUUUGGCUUUUUUAUAGCCGAAUACAUUACAUUGUUUUUUACUGUUUUUACUAUUGUUCUUUGUGUGUUCUUGUUUCUGUUCUUGUUCUUUCUUUUUGCAUGUGUCCCUAUCCGACGGCGACGACUGGCAGACGAGGCGUCAGACCUCGGGCGACAAAACCGCUGGCGAAGUGGAAGCGGCAGCGCACAGAAACCUUAGGGUUUCUGACUCUUCUGCAAAUAGUUUAGGUUUUUGGGUUUAUUGGGGUUUGGGUUGCUAAUUUGGGUAGUGGAUUUUAAAUUUGGGCCUAGCAUUUGUAAAUGGACUGUUUUUGAAUUUUGAUAUCUUUUAUUUUUAUUAUUUUCUUGUUUGGUUUCUGUUUGGGCCUAGGCUAAAUUGGCCUAUUACAGAAUCUAU